Molecule: ribosomal RNA, 497 nt
Filed under: uncultured bacterium
Lineage: Bacteria
Description: partial 16S ribosomal RNA
Rfam family: Bacterial small subunit ribosomal RNA
Source: RNAcentral
GAUGAACGCUGGCGGCGUGCCUAAUACAUGCAAGUCGAGCGAACGGACGAGAAGCUUGCUUUUCUGAUGUUAGCGGCGGACGGGUGAGUAACACGUGGAUAACCUACCUAUAAGACUGGGAUAACUUCGGGAAACCGGAGCUAAUACCGGAUAAUAUUUUGAACCGCAUGGUUCAAAAGUGAAAGACGGUCUUGCUGUCACUUAUAGAUGGAUCCGCGCUGCAUUAGCUAGUUGGUAAGGUAACGGCUUACCAAGGCAACGAUGCAUAGCCGACCUGAGAGGGUGAUCGGCCACACUGGAACUGAGACACGGUCCAGACUCCUACGGGAGGCAGCAGUAGGGAAUCUUCCGCAAUGGGCGAAAGCCUGACGGAGCAACGCCGCGUGAGUGAGGAAGGUCUUCGGAUCGUAAAACUCUGUUAUUAGGGAAGAACAUAUGUGUAAGUAACUGUGCACAUCUUGACGGUACCUAAUCAGAAAGCCACGGCUAACUACGUG